AGGAGGAACAACCCCAGUGGCGGGGCCAGCUUUGGAGCCCUGGAUUCAGCCCCCGCAGUAACUACGGAGCUCUCGGUCCACAGGGUCUGGAUGCUCCAGGGGCGG
Molecule: microRNA precursor, 105 nt
Filed under: Canis lupus familiaris (dog)
Lineage: Eukaryota; Metazoa; Chordata; Mammalia; Carnivora; Canidae
Also listed under: 1 other name
Description: mir-8834 microRNA precursor family
Rfam family: mir-8834 microRNA precursor family
Source: Rfam by way of RNAcentral